GUGGGCAUAGUUUUAAAGAAAAUAUUAGAUUGUGGUUCUAAAGACAGAGGUUGAACCCCUCUUGCCCGCC
RNAcentral lists this transfer RNA (70 nucleotides) under Gobiodon micropus. RNAcentral describes it as "tRNA-His". It matches the Rfam family "tRNA". Rfam says of the family: Transfer RNA (tRNA) molecules are approximately 80 nucleotides in length. Their secondary structure includes four short double-helical elements and three loops (D, anti-codon, and T loops). Further hydrogen bonds mediate the characteristic L-shaped molecular structure. tRNAs have two regions of fundamental functional importance: the anti-codon, which is responsible for specific mRNA codon recognition, and the 3' end, to which the tRNAs corresponding amino acid is attached (by aminoacyl-tRNA synthetases). tRNAs cope with the degeneracy of the genetic code in two manners: having more than one tRNA (with a specific anti-codon) for a particular amino acid; and 'wobble' base-pairing, i.e. permitting non-standard base-pairing at the 3rd anti-codon position. Lineage: Eukaryota; Metazoa; Chordata; Actinopteri; Gobiiformes; Gobiidae. The record is from RNAcentral.